UGAGUAACCUGCCCCAAACUCUGGGAUAAGCACUGGAAACGGUGUCUAAUACCGGAUAUGAGCUUCAGCCGCAUGGCUAGGAGUUGGAAAGAAUUUCGGUUUGGGAUGGACUCGCGGCCUAUCAGCUAGUUGGUGUGGGUAACGGCCCACCAAGGCGACGACGGGUAGCCGGCCUGAGAGGGUGACCGGCCACACUGGGACUGAGACACGGCCCAGACUCCUACGGGAGGCAG
This 233-nucleotide ribosomal RNA is filed under the name uncultured bacterium. RNAcentral describes it as "partial 16S ribosomal RNA". It matches the Rfam family "Bacterial small subunit ribosomal RNA", at positions 118 to 351 of the family's 1533-position model. The record is from RNAcentral.